Non-coding RNA from Macaca mulatta (Rhesus monkey), 468 nucleotides. The record is from RefSeq and is a predicted model, not a curated record. NCBI's taxonomy places the organism in Eukaryota, Metazoa, Chordata, Mammalia, Primates, Cercopithecidae.
AACAGCGACGAGGCCCGAGGUGCAGCUGUCUCGCCUCGCCUGUCUUUUGCAGGCACCGGCAGGCACAGAAGAUGGCUCUCCGGGAGGAAGAUUCCUUUCCAUUUUGUUCGCUCUCUGCCUCCGCAAGGCUCCCAGCCACCUCUAGGGAGUACAGGGCGAGAUCCUGUGCCAGCGGCUCCAGUUUUGCUGAGUCAGAAGAAUCCCACAGCCGCUCACCGGAAACACAGCUGUUGAGCGAAAAUAACCACAGAGCUGAGCAUCAUGCACCUUCCAGAAAAGAUGGCAGAAAACCUCAAAACAAAAGAGAAAUACAAAACAAUAAGAGACACUGUCAAGAAAAAAAAAAAAAAAACCACCGCAGCUCACUAACUGAUCCAAGCUGGUGGCGCUCUCCUGAUCUCUCUCCACUCCCAGGCCAAGCAACCACUCUGAAAUAAAGCGAAGUUUGGCUGCUUUUAUUUACACACA